This 66-nucleotide transfer RNA is filed under the name Pila virens. Its description in RNAcentral is "tRNA-Cys". The record is from RNAcentral. Lineage: Eukaryota; Metazoa; Mollusca; Gastropoda; Architaenioglossa; Ampullariidae.
CUUAUUAUAGUUUAAAUAAAACAUGGAAUUGCAAGUUCUAAAAUGACUAUAAACUUUCUAAUAAGU